UGGUUGGGGGUGUUUUUUAGAAGGU
This 25-nucleotide non-coding RNA is filed under the name Mus musculus (house mouse). Lineage: Eukaryota; Metazoa; Chordata; Mammalia; Rodentia; Muridae. The record is from RNAcentral.